AAUAGGACGAAGAGAGAUAUGGGCAGUAGAUGGUGGUGAAGCAAAAGAUAUUGGUGCACAGAUCGCACCUAUCGUUAAACUUGAAGAAGUUUAUACUGGUGAAGAGGCUCUUAUUUAAAUCUCAAUGAUUUAGUUUUCUAAUUCGAAUUUGAUUUGGUUUUUAUUUUUUUGGUUUUUUGUUUUUGAUUGUGUGUAGAAAAGAGAAACUAUACCGAUUUGAUAAAGAUGAAAAUCAUUAGAAAGAUGAGUUGAAACUUUGAAGAUUCUUAAACUUAAACAGACUGAGAAAGUUGGCUUGGUUUGGGUUGGUUAUGAGACAAUCUAAGCCAUUCAAGAUCUGUGCUAAUCAUCCAUGUUUGUUGUUUCUGUUUCCGAAUAGAUUUUGGUUCUAUUUGAGGUGUUGAUUUGAUUUGUGAGAUUUAUUUAGGGUUUUUUUGUUGUUGAGAUUUUUCGCAAUAAGGUUAUCAUUCAAGUUCAGAAGAAGAAGGGAAGGAUUGUGUGAAAUCUGAACCCUAAAUUCCCAAUUUUAGGGUUCUUUUUUUAUACUAUGAAGCUCCAAAUGAUUAAAACAUGAUAUCUUCAUCUGAUGGUAUUUUACAGAGAUUUAUUUUUGGAUGUGAAGCUUCCACUAGUAAUGGAGGGAUCGAUUAUGAUCAAAUUACUGCCGAAGUGGAACAAAGGCUAUCAGGAGUUCGCACAAUGUAUCCCUUUGGGUCGGGUAUCUUCCACUAGAGUUGUUUUUUGAUUAUGUACUUACAUUUUGCGGGAGAUUUAAGCGGAUAAUCUAGAUAAACUAGUCCUUGGUGUUAUAACUUUAUUGUUGACAAUGCAUGGUGUCUUUUAUGUUGUGUUCUUUUACUGCCUCAGAGGCAUUAACCAUGGAAUUGUUAUUGCUAGGAUGGAUGCUAAAUCUUAAGUUGCAUUGAAUUAACUUUCUUAUGUUUGGGUGAAUCCAGAUCCUGGUUUGAAAACCAGGGAAAGCAGAUGAUGCUCCAGAGUGCGAUAAGUUCGCUAAGUAUUACCGCGAUGUUAUCCCAGAAAAUGGGUAUGUACUGCUAGGAUUUUAUAAUCUCAUUUUCUUCUCUUUCUUCUGAGCUGGUUGAAUUUUGGGGAUUGUUGAAGAAGAAUUCCAGGCAUAGAUGAAUGUUAGGACAGGGAUGCAGCUGCAAUUUUUUGGUGGUGGUUUUGAGCUUACCUAAGAAGAAUUUCACUACUGUGAAGGGAUAUAGUUAUGUUGAUUGAUUGGGUUGAUAACCAGCUCUAGCAGGCAGGAUUGAUUAUGAUCAAAUUACUGCCGAAGUGGAACAAAGGCUAUGAGGAGUUUGCGCUAUAUGGCCUUGUGCGUCAAGGUAUCUCCAACAAUCCAUGUGAAAGAUGAAGAUGUUAUUUGUCUCUUGUUCUAAAGGGCUGUUGUUCUUUGUAAACCAAUGAAUUCAUCUACAACUUGAUGUCACUGCGUCUUUUGAUGUUACUGUCAGUUCAGAAUUGAUUCGAACCUUCUAGGGAACGGAGGUUUUUGCAAGCAUUUCAUUUUCUUCAACUAACAAAGAAACUACUUCUGUUGGAGUCACUCUUCAUCUCGUAUCACCUCCGGCACCUCAGAUGUAUGGAGCCACGUUAUAGACUCGAUAUACUGCAUUUUUCAGAUGCCAUUGCAUACGACAAUCGAGUGGCAAGAAGCUAGGAAGGGUGGAACCUUUGAAUGGUAUAGAUCAGAAUCAUUAAUGGCAAGAAGCUCAUCUGUCUUUCAACCCGCAAUCAUAACCAUGUCGGAUAGUAACAGCUCCGACAAACAGCCGAUCCCAAAUAUUGAUUUCUCCAUGUCCAGAGUUGGAGAUUCAUGACGUUCCUUUCAAGGUGGUUGAAAAUUUCGAUCCUUGUCAUCCGAUUGUCGUUGGAAGUAUCAGUUCUAAAGAGGAUAAUGCGGGUUAUAUGCAGGCUAUUUUGCCUUCUGUAUUUUAUUUUUCUUAUUCUAAGUAUUGCCUUUUGACAAUUUUCAUUUUCCACUCGUUGAAAUAUGGUUAAAUUCAUAGAUAUGAAUUUGAAGUAGCCAUCCAUUAUUCGAUAUUUGAACAUGAACUAAUAGGACGACAUUUGUACCUGUUUCAUGUUAACUGAUUUAUGUUUACCUGUCUUUUUGAUCAUGUAUAUGUGUUCUCCUUUCAGGCGAGACUCAAGCGACAUAAGUUGCAUAUGAAACUGUUGAAAUCAGCAGACCCAGUCACUAUGUCAGCUGGUUGGAGACGUUACCAGAAAAAAACUAUUUAUGCCAGUGCACUCGACAAUGGACGGUAUGGAAUUGUCGACUUCAAUCCUGAACACAUGCACUGUCUUGCGAUGUUUUAGGGGGACCUUUCACCUCCACAGACCAGAAUUGCUGUCGUGUAUGGAACUAAGGAAGUGUUUCAGAUAGAAGCUAAGGCGGUCGUUCUUGACGUCAAGUCUCAUAUGAAUAAUGAAGAGAUGAGAGAUGUAAGGAAAACCUUACGAAAUCCUCGAUGAGAGGACUGCUGUUAUCAAGUUUAAAUCAAAAGAUAUUGAUGUUGUUGAAUUGAAGGUUCACCUAUUCAGACUUGGAGGAGAAUUUGGGGGAAGGUUAUUAAGGUGGAAAAAGGAAAGGGGACUGCUAGGAUUGAUGCACAUUUGAGAAGAAAAUUUGUAAGCGUGAUACUUUUAUCAUGCCUGUAUUUUGUCAAGUUGGAGCUCUCGCCACAAGGAGUUGGCAUUAAAGGCUGCUAUUCUGCAGAGAAGUUUUCUCCUGAUCUAUCUUGCUAGGAUCAUCAGCUUGUGCAAGGUCUCAAGUAACAUGUUUCUAGAUAAAGGCCUAUUGAGUUGUAGGUGUGAUCUGCACCGAAUUAUUGCUAUAUAAGUGGAAACAUAACUCUGAGACUGAGCUUUAGUGAGAAUACGGUACAUUAUAGGAUCUUGUAGGUUUUUUUUUCAUUUAACUUGGAUUGUACUUGAAGUUAAGUUUUUUUUCUCAGCAUAGAAAAAUAUUGUAUGUCAAUUACCAAAUUUAU
This is a long non-coding RNA of Papaver somniferum (opium poppy), 3020 nucleotides long. RefSeq lists it as uncharacterized. Lineage: Eukaryota; Viridiplantae; Streptophyta; Magnoliopsida; Ranunculales; Papaveraceae. The transcript is spliced from 8 exons. The record is from RefSeq and is a predicted model, not a curated record.